GAAGAUGUAGUUCAGUGGUAGAGGGCAUGCUUAGCAUGCAGGAGGUCCUGGGUUCAAUCCCUGGUACCUCCA
This 72-nucleotide transfer RNA is filed under the name Camelus bactrianus (Bactrian camel). It matches the Rfam family "tRNA". Rfam says of the family: Transfer RNA (tRNA) molecules are approximately 80 nucleotides in length. RNAcentral also lists the same sequence under 2 other names. Lineage: Eukaryota; Metazoa; Chordata; Mammalia; Artiodactyla; Camelidae. The record is from Rfam by way of RNAcentral.